CCAGCCUCCCCAGGGCAGGUCCCACCUGCAGAGGAACCUGGGAAGGGAGAGGUGCGGGACUUUACAGGAAAGGGGGCCGGCUUCUCAUGGGGCCAGGAGAGGCCCUGAGGGGGACCCCGGGUGGACAGCCCCACAGUCGUUUCCUCCUGGCUUGGGCACAGGAAGGCGGGUGCCUUGAGCUCUCUGCUCUGCGGCCGGAAAAGACUGGUGUUCCAGGAAUAUGCAGUUUGGCAGGCCGGAGCGAGCACAUGAUGUGUGACCACUUCCGUGGCCUGAGUGGGACAGCAGUGCUGCCCGGUACCUUCCAAGGCAGAGUCGUCAAAGUCCACACAGCCUCUACCCUGGAGUCCUGAGUCAUCUUAUGAGAAGGGAGUUCAAGCAUCCUGGGACCUCCACGCUGCGAGGAAGCCCACACUGCAUGAGAGGCCACAUGGAGGCCUGCUGGUUGACAGUUCCAGCCUCCGCGUCAUCCCAGCCCAGGCUCCAGCCAUCCAAAAGCAGAAGCCACUGCAGAAGUAGCUCCACCAGCCUCAGAGGCCCCAGCUGUUUGAGUUGUCCCAGGGGAGGCCCUGGCAUCCCAGAGCAGAGUUGUCCCCACUGAGCCCUUUCAGAAUACCUGACCCACAGAACUCCUGAGCAGAACAAAAUGGCUGUCAUUGGGGGUGGUUGGUUCCAGCACUAGCUACCUAGAACAGGUGAGAAGCUCAGAACCUCUUGGCCCUUCAAGCCAACUACAGGGCCCCACGAUGCAAGGUGGUCCUAACCUGGAAUGCAGUCCCAGGAACAGGUUCUCCCCAAAUACUCUUGGCGUUCUGCAGCUUGACCCGUAACCGGUGCUUGGGGAAGGGUCAUGGAAUGGAUGAAUGAUGUCCAGCCUCAUUCGCAGAGAUGUUCCUGAGCCACCCCCCAAACCUGAAAGGGGGUCUCCUCACCUCAGAACUCCAGUGGGCCUUUGCGGCUUGAAUAAAUUGUGGACCCAGCGCUCUGGGGAGGUAUCCGGGUUCUGUGUGGCAUGUCUGUUCCUCGGUUUCCCCACCCAAGGAAUAGGCUGCUGAACUCGUACCCUCUGUGGUCCCCCUGGGCUCCUGAUCUGCCUGACUGGGGGCAGUUAUUCACUCAGGUGUGUUUCCCCCCCCCCCUCACAUCCUCCAAUCCACAGGACUCCGCCUCCCGGGCAGGGGGGGCAUGAUUACUGUAAUCUCACCAUUACAUGCUCAGCACCUGGCACUGAUCUAGCUCAAAGGAUGGAUGAUGCCAAAGGUGACUACCGAAUGAAUGAAUCAGUCAAUAAAUGAAUGAAUUCUU
Molecule: long non-coding RNA, 1305 nt
Organism: Hipposideros armiger (great roundleaf bat)
Lineage: Eukaryota; Metazoa; Chordata; Mammalia; Chiroptera; Hipposideridae
Exons: 2
Source: RefSeq, a predicted model, not a curated record